Mus musculus (house mouse) is the source of this 2888-nucleotide long non-coding RNA. RefSeq annotates it as predicted gene 10643. The transcript has a single exon. The record is from RefSeq and is marked validated. Lineage: Eukaryota; Metazoa; Chordata; Mammalia; Rodentia; Muridae.
GCCACUCUCUUGCCUCUGGCGCUCAUGUCCCCCAAGGAACGCAGCGACUCUGUGCUGCCCUUCUGUGACGUCAGCGGCGGAGGCCGAACUCGGAAUUCGUUGACUUCACAGGCGCGUUCUCUUGGUCCAAGAGGGUUGAGAGAAAUCGGCUGGUACGAUUCUAGUCGGAGCCCCGGAAAGGUCACAGCCUGGCCGCGCCGCUAUCUCGGCCACUCAGGCAGUGAAAAGGUCUCUGGCCAGCAGACAUUUAAUGAGAAGACGAUAAGCAAAGGUCAGCGGCGUUUAUCCCCAGUGCUCCCCGCCGCUCCGGGCCUCAGUUUCCCCAAGAGAUAGGUCAGUUGCAGCCGGAGAAGGUGAAACAGAAAUAGCUCCGAAGGGAGUGAGUGCUUCGAGCUCAGAAAUUAAUCAUCAAGAUAAUAUUCUAAAGCAGUUUUUUAAAAUAUCAAUUAAUGGGAAAAAGAAGACGCACGGAGAACCAAAUGUCAAACAAAUGCAGUCAUUCUGCUGGCACCUAGGUUAGGGGAAAGUGGCUCUGUGUUCAAAUAUUUUUGUUUAUUGAGUCAGGAUUCUUUUCUAAAUGAGAUUCUAACUGCUUUUUCCACUAGGGAAUAUAAAUAACUGUGAGAGAGAUGAUGAAUAUGUUAAUUAGUUCCUUUAUAGUAACCACUUUCGCUUUACCAAUUGAUUAAUAGCCUAUUGUCUACUUAAAAAAUGUACAAAAAUGUCCAAGAUGGGUAGAGUGGCCAUGUAGACACAGCUGCUUUGCAGGCUGAGGCAGAUAGAUUGCUUAGAACUGAGCUAUAGAGCAAGUCCCAGCUCAAAACGAUGUUUUUUGUUUUUUGGGUUUUUUUUUUUUUUGGUUUUGUUUUUUGGGUUUUUUUGAGACAAAGUUUUAGAGGCAGGGCUGGCUCCAAACCACCUCUGAAGUUGAUGGUGACCACCUCCUAGCACUAGAGAUUACAGGGGUGUACCACCACACCUUAAGUUUUGCCACCCCAAAACCUAUAGAGUUGGGGAUGGAGAAAGGCUCAAAGCUUGGAGCCUUCAUUCCAGCUCUGCUGUGUUAUAUGGACAAAGUGACUCCACCUUUCUGAGCCCAAUCCCCAUACUUCUCAUAUGCAAAGUCCAGAAUUAUACAUGUAGAAACAGACAAGUGUCUACCUUUGUCUUACCUAUAAUGUCAGAACCUCAAUAAACAGAGUCAUGCUUUAGACAGGCCCUGUAGUUGCUCUAACUGGAAAAGAGAGAAGGGAGAAAGAGGCUUCUGUGACCAUUAUUUUCUGAGGAGAGCCCCUCAAAAUGUGGGGCGUGGGGCAUGCACCACAAAACCUAGUAGAAGGAAGGCCUGGACCACUCUGCAGUCCAAGGCAGGAAGAUGGAACAUUUGAGGCCAGCCUAUGUGAGAGCUGUUGUUAACAUAAAAGUAAGAGGAAGGGGUCGAGAAUAAUCUCAAAUAGUUAAGAUCACUAGUUUCCAGAAUCUACAAGGCAAUUUGGGCUCACAACCACCUGUAACUCCAGUUUCAGGGAAUCUGACACCCUCUUCUGGCUUCUGAGGACACCAGACACAGACAUGUUGCACAGAUAUACAUGCAGGCAAAAUACCAGUACACGUAAAAAAAAAUGUAAUUGUUCUUAACAUGCUUUUAAAAGUUUAAAAAAAAAGUGAGAACAUAUGUAGCUCACCAACAGAACACCUGCCUGAAGUCUACCAUACAGGCUCUAUCUGUGGCCCAGCUGUAGGAUAGUCUCAGAAUACCCCACUGAGGGGUUGGACAUGUAGAAGGCAUAAUUGAGACCAGAAGUUCCAUCUCCAUACCACAAAACAAGAUGAGACAGGGAAUUGCAAAAAUAAAAGAGGAUGCCCACAUCUGGUGGAUGCACCUGGUUACCGGGCAAUUCUACAGAGAUGCAACAUCCCAAGCAACUAAAGCAUUCUCCCUGGUGACAGGUGAACACAUACAUGGUGGCUCCAAGGAAUAGGGUUGCCCCACCUGCACCUGGAGAUGCAGCACCCAGCUGUGUCCCUGGUCAGGCUUCCCAUGUCACAAGUGUGAGCUUCAGCAGAAGGAAACACAGCUGUUCCCAGUCCCAAGAACCCACAAGCACUGAAAGACAUCCAGGCCAGAGGGCACAGAAGCACACCUCAGCUGGCAGGGGAGCUUCACUCGUACCCCACUGCCACUUCUGUGAAGACUUGAGUUUCCAGAUUACAGGAAGAAUGCUUGUGCGAAGGGACCUAGAAGACUUGGUUGUACUUCCCAUCAUUCCCCAGCUCCCAGAAGACCCUGAACUCUGAAACAGGCAGAAUCGAGGCCAGAAAGAAUUUCUUCAACUGAAAAAGGAAGUUCAUAGUGGUUUUCUGGUGACACACCCGGCCAGAACAUGGGCCUGGUUCGAGCCUCUCGCCCACACAGCUGGUGCACCAGUUCACAGGAAGUGGAGGGGGUGGGGACACAAAUUAGAGAGUGACAAGAAGGCAUUGGUCUGGAGCUUGACUCGGUGGUAGAGAGCUUGCCUGGCAUGCUCAAGGCCUGGAUUUAUCUCCAACAUGAAAAAAAGGGAUGUGAGGGAAGUCUCAGUGGAUAAAUCCCUUGCCUUGUGAAUAAGCGGAUCUGAAUGUGAUGUCAGUCCCGGAAAAGUGAAGAGCGGAGGGUUCUUAAGGCUUGAUGGCCAGCUCACCGAGUCAUUGAGCUCCAUGCCACUGAGAAGCAUGCGUGGGGACUGACAGCCAGUGGUGCCCUCUGCCCUCCAUUUGAACACACACAUACUCCUGCGCCUGAACGCUGUUGGGUAGCAGAUUACAACCUUGCAUCUUGGAAGAAAGUUUUUUUAAAGCACAGGAUGGAUGUUAAAAGAGAGAUUAAUCAAUAAAGUGUUCUAGCCUGA